UCAAUCAAACAUAUCUUCUAGUAAACCUACUCAUGCUGCCUCAAUUCAUACCCUCUGUGAACCUUUUGCUUUAGCCAUAUUGAUCCUAUGCCUUCUUCCUAAUUAUAGCAAAACCAAAAUGAGUAACGGAAGAGAACUCUGAUAUCAUUUUCUAGGAAUAAUCCAUUGCAGAUAAAAUUGAAACGAUUAAAACAAACGAUGAUAGUAAUAUAAUGGUUCCUUCUAAGAUCCUCAGGUUGGCGAUCUUUACCCAGAUGGAUUAGAUUCAGAUAUUUCUAGUUAAAGUAGAACCAAAUACAAGAUAAGAACCAAUAUUAGAUGUUCCAGGACAACAUUAUUUAUUCAAAACAGUCAUCUGGAUCCAUCUGUAAAGAUAAGGAGAAUUGAUAAAUGAACACCGUCACCUUAUCUUGGCAAGCAAUAGUUUACAACAACGAAAACUUUAUCACCAGCUGCUUUUGUCAACAACGAAAUCUAAGAUGAGUUGUAUUUAAAAAGCCUCAUUGUUCCUCUUUGAACUCUAGGGAGAGGGAAGAGUGGA
This 541-nucleotide long non-coding RNA is filed under the name Citrus x clementina. RNAcentral describes it as "Citrus clementina (C. clementina) long non-coding RNA (CCLE_LNC003955)". Lineage: Eukaryota; Viridiplantae; Streptophyta; Magnoliopsida; Sapindales; Rutaceae. The record is from RNAcentral.